RNAcentral lists this long non-coding RNA (216 nucleotides) under Gallus gallus (chicken). Lineage: Eukaryota; Metazoa; Chordata; Aves; Galliformes; Phasianidae. The record is from RNAcentral.
GGAAGCUUACCAUGGGUUGGCUGUCUGCUCACAGCUUCUGCAAGACAGGUGCUCAGCUCUUUGCAGGGACAAAGUUGCUCCUGCUUGUUGCUGUUCUGGCACACCAACUCCAUAUAAAGCCAAGAGAGGAGCUCCAAAGGUAUUACAGUAAAGGAGAUCAGUCUCUGAUCUUUCACAUCUUCAGUAUAAAACAAGUCUGAAAUCUCCUGAGUAACG